This 1175-nucleotide ribosomal RNA is filed under the name Leuconostoc carnosum. RNAcentral describes it as "bacterial SSU rRNA". It matches the Rfam family "Bacterial small subunit ribosomal RNA", at positions 299 to 1467 of the family's 1533-position model. The record is from RNAcentral. Lineage: Bacteria; Bacillati; Bacillota; Bacilli; Lactobacillales; Lactobacillaceae.
ACUGAUCGGCCACAUUGGGACUGAGACACGGCCCAAAUUCCUACGGGAGGCUGCAGUAGGAAUCUUCCACAAUGGGCGAAAGCCUGAUGGAGCAACGCCGCGUGUGUGAUGAAGGCUUUCGGGUCGUAAAGCACUGUUGUAUGGGAAGAAAAGUUAAGGUAGGGAAUGACCUUAGCCUGACGGUACCAUACCAGAAAGGGACGGCUAAAUACGUGCCAGCAGCCGCGGUAAUACGUAUGUCCCGAGCGUUAUCCGGAUUUAUUGGGCGUAAAGCGAGCGCAGACGGUUGGUUAAGUCUGAUGUGAAAGCCCGGAGCUCAACUCCGGAAAGGCAUUGGAAACUGGUUAACUUGAGUGCAGUAGAGGUAAGUGGAACUCCAUGUGUAGCGGUGGAAUGCGUAGAUAUAUGGAAGAACACCAGCGGCGAAGGCGGCUUACUGGACUGUAACUGACGUUGAGGCUCGAAAGUGUGGGUAGCAAACAGGAUUAGAUACCCUGGUAGUCCACACCGUAAACGAUGAACACUAGGUGUUAGGAGGUUUCCGCCUCUUAGUGCCGAAGCUAACGCAUUAAGUGUUCCGCCUGGGGAGUACGACCGCAAGGUUGAAACUCAAAGGAAUUGACGGGGACCCGCACAAGCGGUGGAGCAUGUGGUUUAAUUCGAAGCAACGCGAAGAACCUUACCAGGUCUUGACAUCCUUUGAAGCUUUUAGAAAUAGAAGUGUUCUCUUCGGAGACAAAGUGACAGGUGGUGCAUGGUCGUCGUCAGCUCGUGUCGUGAGAUGUUGGGUUAAGUCCCGCAACGAGCGCAACCCUUAUUGUUAGUUGCCAGCAUUCAGAUGGGCACUCUAGCGAGACUGCCGGUGACAAACCGGAGGAAGGCGGGGACGACGUCAGAUCAUCAUGCCCCUUAUGACCUGGGCUACACACGUGCUACAAUGGCGUAUACAACGAGUUGCCAACCUGCGAAGGUGAGCUAAUCUCUUAAAGUACGUCUCAGUUCGGACUGCAGUCUGCAACUCGACUGCACGAAGUCGGAAUCGCUAGUAAUCGCGGAUCAGCACGCCGCGGUGAAUACGUUCCCGGGUCUUGUACACACCGCCCGUCACACCAUGGAAGUUUGUAAUGCCCAAAGCCGGUGGCCUAACCGUAAGGAGGGAACCGUCUAAGGCAGAC